RNAcentral lists this ribosomal RNA (496 nucleotides) under uncultured bacterium. RNAcentral's name for it is "partial 16S ribosomal RNA". It matches the Rfam family "Bacterial small subunit ribosomal RNA", at positions 30 to 523 of the family's 1533-position model. The record is from RNAcentral.
AUUGAACGCUGGCGGCAGGCUUAACACAUGCAAGUCGAACGAUGACUCUCUAGCUUGCUAGAGAAGAUUAGUGGCGGACGGGUGAGUAACAUUUAGGAAUCUGCCUAGUAGUGGGGGAUAGCUCGGGGAAACUCGAAUUAAUACCGCAUACGACCUACGGGUGAAAGGGGGCGCAAGCUCUUGCUAUUAGAUGAGCCUAAAUCAGAUUAGCUAGUUGGUGGGGUAAAGGCCCACCAAGGCGACGAUCUGUAACUGGUCUGAGAGGAUGAUCAGUCACACCGGAACUGAGACACGGUCCGGACUCCUACGGGAGGCAGCAGUGGGGAAUAUUGGACAAUGGGGGCAACCCUGAUCCAGCCAUGCCGCGUGUGUGAAGAAGGCCUUUUGGUUGUAAAGCACUUUAAGUAGGGAGGAGAGGCUAAUGGUUAAUACCCAUUAGAUUAGACGUUACCUGCAGAAUAAGCACCGGCUAACUCUGUGCCAGCCGCCGCUGUAA